RNAcentral lists this ribosomal RNA (465 nucleotides) under uncultured bacterium. RNAcentral describes it as "partial 16S ribosomal RNA". It matches the Rfam family "Bacterial small subunit ribosomal RNA", at positions 28 to 507 of the family's 1533-position model. The record is from RNAcentral.
GACGAACGCUGGCGGCGUGCUUAACACAUGCAAGUCGAACGGAAAGGCCCUGCUUGCCGGGUACUCGAGUGGCGAACGGGUGAGUAACACGUCGGUGGUCUGCGCUGCACUUCGGGAUAAGACUGGGUAACUGGGUCUAAUACCGGGUAGGCGUCAUUUUUAGUGUGAUGGUUGGAAAGUAGUUUCGGUGAAGGAUUAGCUCGCGGCCUAGUAGCUUGUUGGUGGGGUAAUGGUCUACCAGGGCGGCGACGGGGAGCCGGCCUGGGCGGGUGGACGGACACAGUCACAUUGGGACUCAGCCCAGACCCCUACGGGAGGGAGCAGUGGCGAAGGUUGAUAAUUGGGCGCAAACCGGAUGCAGCGACGCCGCGGCGGGGAGGACGGCCAUCGGGUUGUAAACGCCUUGCGCUAUGGACGAAGCUUAUUAUGACGGUACCUAGAGAAGAAGCACCGGCUAACUACGUG